This 492-nucleotide ribosomal RNA is filed under the name uncultured bacterium. RNAcentral describes it as "partial 16S ribosomal RNA". It matches the Rfam family "Bacterial small subunit ribosomal RNA", at positions 29 to 507 of the family's 1533-position model. The record is from RNAcentral.
AGUGAACGCUGGCGGUAGGCCUAACACAUGCAAGUCGAACGGCAGCACAGUAAGAGCUUGCUCUUACGGGUGGCGAGUGGCGGACGGGUGAGAAAUACAUCGGAAUCUACUUUUUCGUGGGGGAUAACGUAGGGAAACUUACGCUAAUACCGCAUACGACCUACGGGUGAAAGCAGGGGAUCUUCGGACCUUGCGCGAUUGAAUGAGCCGAGGUCGGAUUAGCUAGUUGGCGGGGUAAAGGCCCACCAAGGCGACGAUCCGUAGCUGGUCUGAGAGGAUGAACCGCGACACUGGGAGUGAGAGGCGGUCCAGGCUCCUAGGGGAGGCAGCAGUGGGGAAUGUUGGACGAUGGGGGGAAGCCUGCUCCAGCCAUGCCGCGUGGGUGAAGAAGGCCUGCGGGUUGUAAAGCCCUUUUGUUGGGAAAGAAAAGCAGCAGGUUAAUACCCCGCUGUUCUGACGGUACCCAAAGAAUAAGCACCGGCUAACUUCGUG